GACGAACGCUGGCGGCGUGCUUAACACAUGCAAGUCGAACGGAAAGGCCCUGCUUUUGUGGGGUGCUCGAGUGGCGAACGGGUGAGUAACACGUGAGUAACCUGCCCUUGACUUUGGGAUAACUUCAGGAAACUGGGGCUAAUACCUGAUAGGAGCUCCUGCUGCAUGGUGGGGGUUGGAAAGUUUCGGCGGUUGGGCAUGGACUCGCGGCUUAUCAGCUUGUUGGUGGGGUAGUGGCUUACCAAGGCUUUGACGGGUAGCCGGCCUGAGAGGGUGAACGGGCACAUUGGGACUGAGAUACGGCCCAGACUCCUACGGGAGGCAGCAGGGGGGAAUAUUGCACAAUGGGCGGAAGCCUGAGGCAGCAACGCCGCGUGCGGGAUGAAGGCCUUCGGGUGGUAAACCGCUGUCGCCUGUGACGAAGCGUGAGUGACGGUAAUGGGUAAAGAAGCACCGGCUAACUACGUG
Molecule: ribosomal RNA, 468 nt
Filed under: uncultured bacterium
Lineage: Bacteria
Description: partial 16S ribosomal RNA
Rfam family: Bacterial small subunit ribosomal RNA
Source: RNAcentral